AGAGUUUGAUCAUGGCUCAGGAUGAACGCUAGCUACAGGCUUAACACAUGCAAGUCGAGGGGCAGCGGGGAUUGAAGCUUGCUUCAAUUGCCGGCGACCGGCGCACGGGUGAGUAACGCGUAUCCAACCUUCCGUACACUCAGGGAUAGCCUUUCGAAAGAAAGAUUAAUACCUGAUGGUAUGAUGAAAUUGCAUGAUAGCAUCAUUAAAGACUUAUCGGUGUACGAUGGGGAUGCGUUCCAGUUAGGUAGUAGGCGGGGUAACGGCCACCUAGCCUACGAUGGAUAGGGGUUCUGAGACGGAAGGUCCCCCAGAUUGGAACUGAGACACGGUCCAAACUCCUACGGGAGCGA
RNAcentral lists this ribosomal RNA (353 nucleotides) under uncultured bacterium. Its description in RNAcentral is "bacterial SSU rRNA". It matches the Rfam family "Bacterial small subunit ribosomal RNA", at positions 8 to 350 of the family's 1533-position model. The record is from RNAcentral.